This 369-nucleotide unclassified non-coding RNA is filed under the name uncultured Marasmius. RNAcentral describes it as "sequence contains ITS2". The stretch from base 1 to 52 matches the Rfam family "5.8S ribosomal RNA", at positions 103 to 154 of the family's 154-position model. The record is from RNAcentral. Lineage: Eukaryota; Fungi; Basidiomycota; Agaricomycetes; Agaricales; Tricholomataceae.
AACGCACCUUGCGCCUCUUGGUAUUCCGAGAGGCAUGCCUGUUUGAGUGUCAUUAAAUUCUCAACUUCAAUAGUUUUUAUAACUUGUUGAAGCUUGGAUGUGGAGGUUUUUGCUGGCUUUCAUUGGUCGGCUCCUCUUAAAUGUAUUAGUGGAGACUGCUUGUGGUCCACAAUUAGUGUGAUAAUUAUCUACGCUAUUUGAUGGUACUGCACGCUUUGUAGUGUUUCGAUUGGGAAGCUGCAUGAAUAGUGCUCUUUCUGCUUCAAUGAACCUGCAAAAGUGAAGUCAUUCUGCUUCUAACCGUCUUCUUGCAAGACAAUUUCUUGACUUUUUGACCUCAAAUCAGGUAGGACUACCCGCUGAACUUAA